Dermochelys coriacea (leatherback sea turtle) is the source of this 1182-nucleotide long non-coding RNA. RefSeq lists it as uncharacterized. Lineage: Eukaryota; Metazoa; Chordata; Testudines; Dermochelyidae. The record is from RefSeq and is a predicted model, not a curated record. The transcript is spliced from 2 exons.
GGUGUGAGUAUCAAUAUUUCUGUGAGGCAGUUACGGGAUAAGAGAGAUCUCCUUUGUCCAUCACUGAAAUGUGGCCACUUCUGCAGUGGAACAUGGCAACCGCUUAAAAGUGCUCAGCUCAUGUUACACAGCCAUUUGGGCAUGAAAUACAAGGAGCUAAGCGAACUCUGAGAAGCAAAAAUUAUUAUGUUGUCUGAAAAACACAUCACUUCGAAACAGAAAAACGAGGCAUGCACAGAAAUGUGCUGUGACUCUGAUUAGGACAGACAAUGCUUGGCGCUCCUAUAGCACUUUCCGUCAGAGGAUCUCAAAAUGAUUCAUGAAUUAACCUAACACCCUCCCUCUAGAGUAGACAUUUUAGUUGCGGGCAGUGAGACACUGCCAGGUGAAAUGACUUGCAGAAGGUCAGAAUGAAAUACUGACACAACUGGAAAUAGAACCCAGGAGAGCUGACUCCCAGGUCUGUACUUCAAAACAUUAGGCCAUCCUUUCUUUGCCUUAUAGUGAGGGUAAAACGAACACACACACUAUACUGACUAUAGUGCAGACGGAGACAUAGUUUGUAUGUGCAGGGUCUCUCUCUCUCUCCUCCCCCAAAGCUGCAACUCUUGACUGCCAGAGUGAGUGUUUUUUUCCAGCCAGCUCUGAUGUGGCAUAUCAUGUGUCACGCCCUGUAAGACCAUCUGUCUUUAGCGUUGCUUUUGGUAUGCGACUCGGUCAGUGUCUGAGCAUCCUACACUCCUAUCUGGCAGAUGCAGAUUAUUUCCAGUGGAAUUUUGAAACUUAUCCAGGACUGAAAUAGACUAGGAGCACCACAUUAUCAGCAAUCCAUGCCUUAGGAGCAAUUAUUUAUAGGCUUGCGUGGAGUAUCACAAUGCCACUUUCAUAGAUACGCUGCAACAUACACACAUCCUUCUUCACAUGUGUUAUAUUGCGGAUCCCCUCCUCCUAUUGGCUAUGUGAAUAUGGAUGUUCAGGGGGAGAAAACGGAAGGUCGACUGAAGAAUGAUACCCAGACAGAGGAAAAACACAGAAAAUACAAGGCCACACCAGGAGGAGAAGUGGAUUCGAUUGUCACUUUAAUCCGAAGACUGCUGCAUGCACUGUAAACAUGAUCGUUAGGCUGGAUUCUUUAUCGGUAUUUAUUUUGCUUUAAUAUAAAAGUUACAGGUUUGAAAUGUU